RNAcentral lists this ribosomal RNA (253 nucleotides) under uncultured bacterium. RNAcentral's name for it is "partial 16S ribosomal RNA". It matches the Rfam family "Bacterial small subunit ribosomal RNA", at positions 524 to 776 of the family's 1533-position model. The record is from RNAcentral.
UACGUAGGUGGCAAGCGUUGUCCGGAUUUACUGGGCGUAAAGAGCGCGCAGGCGGUCGUUCAAGUCGCGUGUGAAAGCCCCCGGCUCAACUGGGGAGGGUCACGCGAUACUGAUCGACUCGAAGGCAGGAGAGGGAAGUGGAAUUCCCGGUGUAGUGGUGAAAUGCGUAGAUAUCGGGAGGAACACCAGUGGCGAAGGCGGCUCUCUGGGCCGGUACCGACGCUGAGGAGCGAAAGCUAGGGGAGCAAACAGG